UUUAGGUCCUUUUCGAUGCAGAUGGGAAGGAGUGGUGUCGUCGUGCCUGAUCAAUCCAGCUUUUUCUUUAAAAAAAAAUAACCGGUGUGUAUUAAUCAUUUUUUAUAAUCAUCUGUAUGUUAUUUGAAAUAUAUUUAACGAAUGUUGUGCUCUUCACAAUCUGACGGCCUAAUAUCAUUUUACAGUGUGUUUCUGAUUUCGCGCACUUUUGGGUCCUUUUUGAUGCUGAUGUGAAGGAGUGGUGUCCUCGUCUGAUCAAUCCAUCUUUUCUCUAAAAUAAACGUGUGUUACUGAUUUCGCGCACUUUUGGGUCCUUUUUGAUGCUGAUGUGAAGGAGUGAUGUCCUGUCUGAUUAAUCCAUCUUUUCUCUAAAAUAACCGUGUGUUACUGAUUUCGCGCACUUUUGGGUCCUUUUCGAUGCUGAUGUGAAGGAGUGGUGUCCCUGUCUGAUCAAUCCAUCUUUUCUCUAAAAUAAACGUGUGUUACUGAUUUCGCGCACUUUUGGGUCCUUUUCGAUGCUGAUGUGAAGGAGUGGUGUCCUGUCUGAUCAAUCCAUCUUUUCUUUAAAAUAACCAAGCAUGUUGCUUCGGGUUCACAUUUCUUCUACCAACAUCAGGAGGGUAGAGCUGCCUAAAAGGCCUGAGUCUGUGGACGAUUUGAAGUCUUUCCUUGGCGAGAAAUUGCAGCUGAAAUCUGGAUUUUCUCUACAAUUUGAAGACCCAGACUUUAACAAUGAACUUUGUAACUUGAAUGACAUCCAAGAAUUGCCAGCAGCAAAGGCAACCUUAAAGAUUCUGUGGGAAGAAGCAUCUCCUGCACUAACCGAUGCAAGUUCAGUGUCCUCACUUGAUACAGCAAGCAUGACAAGUUGUCAAAGUGAUGUCCAAAUCCCUGAAACAUCUGUGUCAAGAAAUCUCAGAAGUGUUGAACAGUGGCCCUCUACUUUUAACAUACCUGCUUUUUCUCUUGAUGUGGAACUCAGGCUGCGUAAAGCCAAUGAGAUAUACCAACAGACAAAGAAGCCUCUGAGUGUACCCAGGGAUAUGAAGUGUGAGAUUCUGGACAAGAUUGCGCAGGCAAUUUUUGAAAUUAAAGCCUACCCCGAUGCCUAUGAGAUCCAGUCAGUUGCCUCUGCUCUAGUAGAAAAACAUCCUUGCCUUAAAGAACCUGGCAAACGCACAGGCUGGGAUGGAUGGAUUAUGAGUAUAAAGUUUAAGCUUAGCAAUUAUCGAGCUAAAUUGAGAGAGGCUGGUUGUUCAGAAGUUAGUGUUAACACAAAAAGGAAAUCACAUGAGAGUAUGAUGGCCACCAUUAAAAAGCCUAAAAGAGCAGAGGUGAACUUUUUACCAGACCAUCCUGAUGGCCAAACAGAUGAUUCACUUG
Molecule: non-coding RNA, 1383 nt
Organism: Pimephales promelas (fathead minnow)
Lineage: Eukaryota; Metazoa; Chordata; Actinopteri; Cypriniformes; Leuciscidae
Source: RefSeq, a predicted model, not a curated record